GCCCCGACGUGGGGGAUAACUAGUCGAAAGAUUAACUAAUACCUCAUACGCCCCAAGGGGGAAAGUGGGGGAUCGCAAGACCUCAUGCUUGUUGAGCGGCCGAUAUCUGAUUAGCUAGUUGGUAGGGUAAAAGCCUACCAAGGCGACGAUCAGUAGCUGGUCUGAGAGGACGACCAGCCACACUGGGACUGAGACACGGCCCAGACUCCUACGGGAGGCAGCAGUGGGGAAUUUUGGACAAUGGGGGCAACCCUGAUCCAGCAAUGCCGCGUGAGUGAAGAAGGCCUUCGGGUUGUAAAGCUCUUUUGUCCGGGAAGAAAUCCUCUUGGCGAAUACCUGGGAGGGAUGACGGUACUGGAAGAAUAAGCACCGGCUAACUACGUGCCACCAGCCGCGGUAAUACGUAGGGUGCAAGCGUUAAUCGGAAUUACUGGGCGUAAAGCGUGCGCAGGCGGUUGUGCAAGACCGAUGUGAAAUCCCCGGGCUUAACCUGGGAACUGCAUUGGUGACUGCACGGCUAGAGUGUGUCAGAGGGGGGGUAGAAUUCCACGUGUAGCAGUGAAAUGCGUUAAGAUGUGGAGGAAUACCGAUGGCGAACGCACCCCCCCUGGGAUACCACUGACGCUCAUGCACAAAAGCCGUGGGA
RNAcentral lists this ribosomal RNA (646 nucleotides) under uncultured bacterium. RNAcentral describes it as "bacterial SSU rRNA". It matches the Rfam family "Bacterial small subunit ribosomal RNA", at positions 126 to 767 of the family's 1533-position model. The record is from RNAcentral.